AUCGGUUUGGAACACAGACCUUAUGUGAAAGCAGUUUUAGUAAAGCAGUCCUCAGUUCAAGCGUUAUCCUUAGAUACCUCUUCUUCCGUGAGUCUCCUCCUAAGUGCACCCCAUAAGCUAGCUCUGACGACGAACCUCGUUCGCUGCAAUAAUGUGGCUUAAAAAAUUGAAAGGAAGUAUCUAAUGUCUAACAAAAUGACUGGUUUAGUAAAAUGGUUCAACGCUGAUAAAGGUUUCGGCUUCAUCUCUCCAGCUGACGGCAGCAAAGAUGUAUUCGUACAUUUCUCUGCAAUCCAGAGCGAUAGCUACAAAUCUCUGGACGAAGGUCAGACCGUUGAGUUCACUAUCGAGAAUGGCGCUAAAGGCCCAGCAGCAGCUAACGUAGUAGCUCUGUAAUCUCUAUAGUUUAGUAUUGUUU
This is a regulatory RNA element of Hafnia alvei FB1, 418 nucleotides long. It matches the Rfam family "cspA thermoregulator". NCBI's taxonomy places the organism in Bacteria, Pseudomonadati, Pseudomonadota, Gammaproteobacteria, Enterobacterales, Hafniaceae. The record is from Rfam.